RNAcentral lists this long non-coding RNA (1089 nucleotides) under Panax ginseng (ginseng). RNAcentral's name for it is "long non-coding RNA (PGIN_LNC015579)". The record is from RNAcentral. Lineage: Eukaryota; Viridiplantae; Streptophyta; Magnoliopsida; Apiales; Araliaceae.
UCUAUGGACCAUUUGGGAGGCCAGGAAUAAAGUGAUUUUCAAAGGAGUGGAUAUGUGCUCGAGUUUUGCAGUUGAUAUUUAAUUAAGCGUAGGGCGUUUAGAUGGGGAUUUUCUCAUAAUUUAUAUCAGAUGACAGAUGGUGCUAACAGUCACAAAUGGGCAUUGGAACCAUGGCUUUGUUUCUAGUUUGGUGGAGUUCUUCUAAGGUUGGAAUCUUGUUUUUGGGUCUGUUUUUAAUGUUUAUAGUUGUAUUAAUUUCCUCAUGUAUAAUGUAACAUGUAGACCUGAAGUUACUCUUUUAUAUACACAAUAUUUUAGAACAAAAUUUGCUUACUUUAACACUACAACAAUGCGCAAAUAGUAAUGGAAGGAGUUUAUUUAUCAUUUUACUCUACAUAGAUUAAUUAAUGAGUUUGGCUUUUAGAUAAUAAAACAGUGUAGAAUGUGGUUGAGUUAUGUGGGAUUUUAAUGCAGUAGUAAAAAAUUACUAGUAAUUAACUAAGGUUGUUGGGAGAUCUACAUACCUAUAUACUACUCCUAUGUAGAUAGGUUUGUAACUUUUAUGUUGAAUUUCAAAUGUAGUAUCACUGGAAUAUUAGGGGUUUUAACAGAUGAUACUUGAGUUUCAUUACUACACGUGUACUGAUCAUUUGAUGUUAGUAUAAACAGUAAAUCUGGGAUCAUUUAUAAAGUGAACUUCCUGUAAAAUGAACUUCAUACUUAAUACAGUGCUGACACACAGACGAGAAAAUGAUCUCUCCACCUGCGUAUUAAAACUAUACUCCCUAGUAGACAUGAAAUGAACUUAUGAUGAAGUUUAUUUCAUGUUAACCACUCCCAUAAAUCUGAUAACUUUGGGUGAUGGAAUCAUUUUCCAAAGCAUAUAAUAAUUAUAUACUUACUCCACUACUAACUACUCCUCAUAUCAUUCUUCUGUCAUCAGUGCAAAUAUAACAUCACAUCAUGAAAAAACAUAAAGAAAAGAAGCCCUAAACAGGAAGAGUACCCCCUCUUAGGUUAGAAACGUGUAAAUGACCAAAAUAUUCAUGGUAAAAAGAAUAAUGUAAAUGGAUAAAUGUGAUAUAAAAU